GACGAACGCUGGCGGCGUGCCUAACACAUGCAAGUCGAACGGAAAGGCCCUGCUUUUGUGGGGUGCUCGAGUGGCGAACGGGUGAGUAACACGUGAGUAACCUGCCCUUGACUUUGGGAUAACUUCAGGAAACUGGGGCUAAUACCGGAUAGGAGCUCCCGCUGCAUGGUGGGGGUUGGAAAGUUUCGGCGGUUGGGGAUGGACUCGCGGCUUAUCAGCUUGUUGGUGGGGUAGUGGCUUACCAAGGCUUUGACGGGUAGCCGGCCUGAGAGGGUGACCGGCCACAUUGCGACUGAGAUACGGCCCAGACUCCUACGGGAGGCAGCAGUGGGGAGUAUUGCACAAUGGGAGGAAGCCUGAUGCGGCAACGCCGCGUGCGGGAAGACGGCCUUCGGGUUGUGAACCGCUUUCGCCUGUGACGAAGCGUGAGUGACGGUAAUGGGUGAAGAAGCACCGGCUAACUACGUG
This 468-nucleotide ribosomal RNA is filed under the name uncultured bacterium. RNAcentral's name for it is "partial 16S ribosomal RNA". It matches the Rfam family "Bacterial small subunit ribosomal RNA", at positions 28 to 507 of the family's 1533-position model. The record is from RNAcentral.